UGUACUGUAUCACUGGGGCAACAGAAUGACAUGCACAGGGAAGAAUGGGACGCUGGUCCCAAAUGGCCAGUGUUAGGAAGGGUUCCUCUAUUCUGACGGGCUGUUCCUUGACCAUCAGCCCUGACUGGUCCCUCUCUGUUUGCCGCUUCUGUCCACCCAGAGUCAAUCUCAGUGAGUCCAUCCUGAAAUUGAUCUGUAUGCAGUCUUCUUGCUAGACAGUCUGCAGCUCUGAUGACCUUGGCAGCGGUCAUCUGCUGGAGCGUCUGAGCCCUUUUGGACUGGGCAGCACCCCUCUGUGGAUGGAAAUCUGGAGUACUGCUUUGUCAAAGAAAAGCUGAAUUAAAGGCCUUCCUUGGACUUGUCAGGCUUCUGCGAGCCAAGUUUGCAUGGCAACCAAGAUGUAUAACAGAAACAUUCAAAUGGUCUUCAUAAAAAGAAAUGUUGAGCAGAGCUCAAGAGUGGAGCGAGUUCUAAGCUGGGACAGACUAUCAAAGCUGGCCAGAGCCAUGACUGAGGUCCAGGUAAUUUAUAUAUGGUUAAAGAAGCUUAGUGGAGCCACUCAGAACAUCAGCUCAGAAGCUGGUUAUAUAAAUCAUACACUAACACUCUGGACUUGGAGGGAAGGCUUGUGCCCCUGAAGACCAUUCUGAAGAAAGGCUGCAUUCUAGGGCAAGUGCCCUACUCAGAAAGACUUCUGCUUUUCAGGCAUCUUCCACUGAUGCUAUUAAUAAAUGGGAUGCA
Long non-coding RNA from Odocoileus virginianus texanus, 741 nucleotides. RefSeq lists it as uncharacterized. The record is from RefSeq and is a predicted model, not a curated record. NCBI's taxonomy places the organism in Eukaryota, Metazoa, Chordata, Mammalia, Artiodactyla, Cervidae.